CCUACGGGGUGCAGCAGUGAGGAAUAUUGGUCAAUGGACGAGAGUCUGAACCAGCCAAGUAGCGUGAAGGAUGACUGCCCUAUGGGUUGUAAACUUCUUUUAUAUGGGAAUAAAAUGUUCCACGUGUGGGAUUUUGUAUGUACCAUAUGAAUAAGGAUCGGCUAACUCCGUGCCAGCAGCCGCGGUAAUACGGAGGAUCCGAGCGUUAUCCGGAUUUAUUGGGUUUAAAGGGAGCGUAGGUGGAUGGUUAAGUCAGUUGUGAAAGUUUGCGGCUCAACCGUAAAAUUGCAGUUGAAACUGGCAGUCUUGAGUACAGUAGAGGUGGGCGGAAUUCGUGGUGUAGCGGUGAAAUGCUUAGAUAUCACGAAGAACUCCGAUUGCGAAGGCAGUUCACUGGACUGCAACUGACACUGAGGCUCGAAAGUGUGGGUAUCAAACAGGAUUAGAUACCCUUGUAGUC
Molecule: ribosomal RNA, 460 nt
Filed under: uncultured bacterium
Lineage: Bacteria
Description: partial 16S ribosomal RNA
Rfam family: Bacterial small subunit ribosomal RNA
Source: RNAcentral